CCCUUAGAUGUUCUGGGCUGCACGCGUGCUACAAUGGCGUUUCCAGCAAGUCUGCGAACCCGAGAGGGCCAGCGGAUCUUCGAAUUGGCGUCGUGAUCGGGACAGUCGAUUGCAAUUAUUUGACUCAAACGGGGAAUUCCUUGUAAUCGCGAUUCAUCAUAUCGCGCUGAAUACGUCCCUGCCCUUUGUACACACCGCCCGUCGCUCCUACCGAUUGAGCGAUCCGGUAAAUGUUUUGGAUUGGUGCCGGGGCGGCUAGCUGCCGGUCGCUACGAAAUUUUGUGAACCUUAUCGCUUAGAGGAAGGAAAAGUCGUAACA
RNAcentral lists this ribosomal RNA (319 nucleotides) under uncultured eukaryote. RNAcentral describes it as "partial 18S ribosomal RNA". It matches the Rfam family "Eukaryotic small subunit ribosomal RNA", at positions 1470 to 1796 of the family's 1831-position model. The record is from RNAcentral.